CAAGAGAUGAUCAUGCUCUCUUAUCAAUGGACACUAGAGGAUCAUUCAAAAUCCUUAGUGUAUCAAAGCCAUUUUGACAUGGUAUCUCUACUUUAGAGCUCUUGGGAUUGUUACCUUGCAUCACAGCCUUACCUUUCAUUUUCCAUUUGUUUCCAACUUUUGUCCAAGAUGUAGUGCCAAGUUCCGUUGGGAUUGGAGUUUCUC
RNAcentral lists this long non-coding RNA (204 nucleotides) under Lathyrus oleraceus (garden pea). RNAcentral describes it as "Pisum sativum (pea) long non-coding RNA (PSAT_LNC017115)". The record is from RNAcentral. Lineage: Eukaryota; Viridiplantae; Streptophyta; Magnoliopsida; Fabales; Fabaceae.